GGUGAGUAUUUUUUAAUAUUAUAAAGAUUAUCCAGGUUCUUCCCUUUCCAGGAAUAAGAGGAAAAAGUGGAUAAUUAACGAUUAUGACACAGGACAGCCAGGUUUGUGAUGGUGGGUAUUUUUCAAUAUUGUAUAGAUUAGCCAGGUUCUUCCCUUUGCAGGAAUAAGAGGAAAAGUGGAUAAUUAACGAUUAUGACACAGGACAGCCAGGUUUGUGAUGGUGGGUAUUUUUCAAUAUUGUAUAGAUUAGCCAGGUUCUUCCCUUUCCAGGAAUAAGAGGAAAAAGUGAAUACUUGAGGAAUAUAACAUAGGAUAGACAGGUUUUUGUUAGUGAUUAUUUGCAGCACUUCCCUUUAUACAGGAAUGGAACCUUUAUUUUUUUGGAGGAAAACUCAGGAGAUGGUGAGUAGUUGUGGAGCUUCCCUUUGAAUAGUGCUCCCUCGGAGAAUGUGAUUUAUGACAUACCGUGGGAGGAGGCAGAUUAUAGGGUCAUAUUUGGGAUGCAAAUUACGUGGGGCAGAGCUGACUCCACUUGGGUAUGUGCUGACAUGUUGCUCCUAAUAAUUACCUGGAUUUCUUUUGAAACUUGGCUCGAGGGCCGUGAAUUAAUUAGGGCAUCCAUCGCCCUGGCAGCUAGCAGGAUGCAGCCUAUGGGCUUUAGAGUGAGAUACAGCACCGUGACUUUGGGCCCAGAAGCAGAAGACGGUAACUUCUCGUACUGUAAUUGGAAAGGUAAAUCUAAUCCAGCAAUGCACACGACUGGUGCUUUAGUGACUUUGGGUAAUAAUGAAGGGAUGGUGAGUAUUUGUGGUACCUUAUACUAAGACAGCCAUUUUCGUGACCUCAGGCCUAUAACCAGGAGACAGUGAUUUUUAGUCUUGCAAGAUACACAACAGGCAAUUGGAUGACUUUGGGCCCAUAACCAGCAGACGAUCAGUUGUAGUCCUGCAAUAUGAAUGACAGGUACCUGAAUGACUUUCCACCAGGAAUUGACAGUGAGUUCUAAUCCUUCAAUUCUCACAAUGGCCGACUUAGUAACUUCGGAUCAAUAACCAAGAAACGGUGUCUUUUCUUCCUGCAAUAGGCAUGGUGAGUUCUGCUCCUGGAAUACUCAAGAGAGGCAGCUGUGUCACUUUGGGCCAAUCCCCAGGAGAUGCCCUAGGAAGGAAGCAAUGGCAAACCACUUCUCCAAAACCUCUCCAAGAAUAGAGACUGGACUUGUUCAGACAGUCUCUGAGAAUUGAACCCGACGGAACAGAAGAAAAAAAGAGCAAUGGAUGACAAAGACGGAAGGGACCCCCCCCCCCCCCCUCGGUGCAAUACGUCCUGGCUAAGACCACGAUGAGGCUGGACAGAGGCCCUCUCGGCCCCCACACAGACCAAUGUCCUGUCAGAUCCACCACCUUCAGCUUGGCACCUCGCUGGCAGUCUGCCAUCAACCUGGGAAAGGGAGGGGGAACCAAUGGGCAAUCAAGCUGUGUGUCUUCAUGAGGGGAAAUUGGGAGGCGGGAAUUGACAGUUGAGGAAGAACAGAGCGGUUUGGAAUCCAGUCUAUGCAGGCAUCUUCAAGGCCACCUCUCCUGAGAAUGGAAUUUCACCAACUUAAACAUCUCAGCGCUUCCCAAAAUAAUCUCAGCGGUGCUGGAUUGGCUGCCCUUGGAUGGACUAUGGGGGGAGGGCUGGGGAAACCAAGGAGUUAGUGCUGAAUUGAUGCGCUGGAACUUCAGAUUCCACCUGACUGUCCUGCAGUGAGCAUCUGUUAGUAAAAGUGCCUUUUCACUUCAACCAAAUGGAGUCGAGGGUUUUACUUCCCUGGGAGAUCAGACUGGGACAGGUCUGACAGUCCCUCGUUGCCUGAUCUGAAGUCCACGACUGAAGAGGGACCCAACCCAUUUCACCGGGCGAUUGCUGAAUGAGCCACAAGUCCUCUGCUGUGUCAACCAACAACCCAUGAAUCCAGACCGAACUAUUCUGGGCAUGCUGGCUGGGAAUUCUGGGAGUUGAAGUCCCCACAUCUCAAAGUCUCCACGUUGGAGAAACACAGAUGUAGAGCUCCCUGACUCCAGGUAGCUGCAGGCAGCUGACUUUCCCCAUCAGACUCGUCAAAAUAAAAUAAAAUUUGAAAAACGGAAUGGACCAUGAGCAUCUAGGAGACCGUCUGAACAGAGGACAGCCCAAUGAGGGCAUCUCUGUCACCAGUCCCAACGCCUGGCACCUCACCCAGCUUCGCGAUGACCUGACUGGCCCACAGAAGAAGUCUUAUCUGGAUUCGUCUCGAUUUCAUUCAUAAUUUAUUCCCAAUAAAUGUCUCAAGACAAAUCAUGAUA
Pantherophis guttatus is the source of this 2327-nucleotide non-coding RNA. The record is from RefSeq and is a predicted model, not a curated record. Lineage: Eukaryota; Metazoa; Chordata; Lepidosauria; Squamata; Colubridae.